GUCGGGUCUCAGGGAAGCUUGCAAAGAGAAUAGCUGAACCGAGGAGUCGGCGCUUAUAGCGUUGACCCUGCAGCCACUGGAUGGACCUAGAGAAUGACCACAGACUACUGGGAGGAAGUAAUAUCGGUCAAUACCAGCUGUGCCAGACAUGAUGUCUCAACUGGAGCAGAGCUCUGCAGCCUCAGGAGACCAAGGGGAUACUUGGUGACCUGCUGACUACACUGGGCCUCUUUUCUCCUGGAAGGGUCAGCUCUCAC
This is a long non-coding RNA of Ailuropoda melanoleuca (giant panda), 257 nucleotides long. RefSeq lists it as uncharacterized. NCBI's taxonomy places the organism in Eukaryota, Metazoa, Chordata, Mammalia, Carnivora, Ursidae. The record is from RefSeq and is a predicted model, not a curated record. The transcript is spliced from 3 exons.